UGGGGAAUAUUGCACAAUGGGCGCAAGCCUGAUGCAGCCAUGCCGCGUGUGUGAAGAAGGCCUUCGGGUUGUAAAGCACUUUCAGCGAGGAGGAAGGUGGUGAGCUUAAUACGCUCAUCAAUUGACGUUACUCGCAGAAGAAGCACCGGCUAACUCCGUGCCAGCAGCCGCGGUAAUACGGAGGGUGCAAGCGUUAAUCGGAAUUACUGGGCGUAAAGCGCACGCAGGCGGUUUGUUAAGUCAGAUGUGAAAUCCCCGGGCUCAACCUGGGAACUGCAUUUGAAACUGGCAAGCUAGAGUCUCGUAGAGGGGGGUAGAAUUCCAGGUGUAGCGGUGAAAUGCGUAGAGAUCUGGAGGAAUACCGGUGGCGAAGGCGGCCCCCCUGGACGAAGACUGACGCUCAGGUGCGAAAGCGUGGGGCAGCAAACAGGAUUAGAUACCCUGGUAGUCCACGCUGUAAAACGAUGUCGAUUUGGAGGUUGUGCCCUUGAGGCGUGGCUUCCGGAGCUAACGCGUUAAAUCGACCGCCUGGGGAGUACGGCCGCAAGGUUAAAAACUUAAAGG
RNAcentral lists this ribosomal RNA (564 nucleotides) under uncultured bacterium. RNAcentral's name for it is "partial 16S ribosomal RNA". It matches the Rfam family "Bacterial small subunit ribosomal RNA", at positions 355 to 907 of the family's 1533-position model. The record is from RNAcentral.